RNAcentral lists this long non-coding RNA (566 nucleotides) under Equus asinus (donkey). RNAcentral's name for it is "lncRNA (ENSEASG00005036872.1)". The record is from RNAcentral. Lineage: Eukaryota; Metazoa; Chordata; Mammalia; Perissodactyla; Equidae.
GUGAGGCGGCCCGGGGAGGGCACCGGCGGCAUAAAGGGCCCAGGCAGCCCCGGGCCACGACCCCGCAUCGCCUGGACCAGGUGUUGUGUUUCUGGGGCUGCCGAGGCCCGGUCCUGCCGGCGCCCGCCUCCCGCCGCAGCCUGGCCGACCACUGGCUGAGCCCGCAGCGCCGCGCCGCCGGGCGCCGCCUGCUGCUGGCCGGCGCGCAACCUGCUGCCCCCACCGGGGGCCACCAGCCGGGCCAGCCGCUGCGGAGCGCGCCCGCGCCUCCCGUGGAAGCACCAGUGGCAGAAUAUUAACUACCAACUCCUGGGCAAGAGGAAGAGCCAUCUGGUUCCCCUGCGCCCGUGAGAGCGAAUGUGAGGAAACAGGCUCCAGGUUCAUCACAUGGUGGUCCCAAGGCCGACUUGUGCAAGCCAGGAUGACAGGAGGACGGCGUGGGAGCACUGCUCAAUCCCGUAGCCCUUCCCUGUGGCUGAAGAUGAUCCACCUUCGCCCUGUCUCCUGAGGUCUCCGUGUUUCUGCCCUUCACGGCCCAAAUAAAGCAGCUUUUGCCUCUCUCUGGC